CUACCGGGAUGAACUCAUAUUAUUGCCUGAAUAGCAUUGAAGGUUACAAUAUACGAGCUUUUUAACUCUGACCUAGG
Small nucleolar RNA from Rhipicephalus microplus (southern cattle tick), 77 nucleotides. NCBI's taxonomy places the organism in Eukaryota, Metazoa, Arthropoda, Arachnida, Ixodida, Ixodidae. The record is from RefSeq and is a predicted model, not a curated record.